RNAcentral lists this ribosomal RNA (752 nucleotides) under uncultured archaeon. Its description in RNAcentral is "bacterial SSU rRNA". It matches the Rfam family "Archaeal small subunit ribosomal RNA", at positions 102 to 859 of the family's 1478-position model. The record is from RNAcentral.
GGACAACCUGCCCUAAGGUGAGGGAUAACUCCGGGAAACUGGAGAUAAUACCUCAUAGUUUACCAUCGCUGGAAUGCCUGGUAAGCGAAAGGUCCGCCGCCUUAGGAUGGGUCUGCGGCCGAUUAGGUAGUUGUUGGGGUAACGGCCCAACAAGCCUGUGAUCGGUACGGGUUGUGGGAGCAAGAGCCCGGAGAUGGAUUCUGAGACACGAAUCCGGGCCCUACGGGGCGCAGCAGGCGCGAAAACUUUACAAUGCAGGCAACUGUGAUAAGGGAACCCCGAGUGCCCGUAUGGACGGGCUGUUCAGGUGCUUAAAAACCACCUGGAGAAAGGGCCGGGCAAGACCGGUGCCAGCCGCCGCGGUAAUACCGGCGGCUCGAGUGGUGGCCACUAUUACUGGGCUUAAAGCGUCCGUAGCUUGGUCGUUAAGCCUCUGGGGAAAUCUUCCGGCUCAACCGGAAGGCGUCUCAGGGGAACUGGCGACCUAGGGAUCGGGAGAGGUGAGAGGUACUCUGGGGGUAGGAGUGAAAUCCUGUAAUCCUCAGGGGACCACCUGUGGCGAAGGCGUCUCACCAGAACGACUCCGACAGUGAGGGACGAAAGCUGGGGGAGCAAACCGGAUUAGAUACCCGGGUAGUCCCAGCCGUAAACGAUGCGCGUUAGGUGUAUCAGUGACCACGAGUUACCGAGGUGCCGAAGGGAAACCGUGAAACGCGCCGCCUGGGAAGUACGGUCGCAAGGCUGAAACUUAA